UUGCCGGCAACCGGCGCCCGGGUGAGUAACACGUAUGCAACCUGCCCGUCUCAGGGGGAUAAUCGUCGGAAACGGCGUCUAAUACCCCGUAUGAAGCUGGACGGCAUCGUCUGGUUUUGAAAGAAUAUCGGAGACGGAUGGGCAUGCGGCGCAUUAGCUAGUUGGCGGGGUAACGGCCCACCAAGGCGACGAUGCGUAGGGGUUCUGAGAGGAAGGUCCCCCACACUGGUACUGAGACACGGACCAGACUCCUACGGAAGGCAGCAG
RNAcentral lists this ribosomal RNA (267 nucleotides) under uncultured bacterium. Its description in RNAcentral is "partial 16S ribosomal RNA". It matches the Rfam family "Bacterial small subunit ribosomal RNA", at positions 85 to 354 of the family's 1533-position model. The record is from RNAcentral.